This 1475-nucleotide unclassified non-coding RNA is filed under the name uncultured fungus. RNAcentral describes it as "sequence contains 18S rRNA gene, ITS1, 5.8S rRNA gene, ITS2, 28S rRNA gene". The stretch from base 463 to 1475 matches the Rfam family "Eukaryotic large subunit ribosomal RNA", at positions 1 to 961 of the family's 3401-position model. Lineage: Eukaryota; Fungi. The record is from RNAcentral.
GGAAGGAUCAUUACAAAUCGUUAGGAGAAGGGGUUCUAGGCUCUGCCUAUCAACCUCUCUCUUCUUAGGUUCGAUGCAGCAAUGCAUCGUUACUUUGCGCUUGUUUUGUUUGUCAGAGUAAGUAUCACUAUUAAAGAGACAACUUUUAACAAUGGAUCUCUUGGCUCUUGCAACGAUGAAGAACGCAGUAAAGUGCGAUAUAUAGUGCGAUUUGCAUGAAUCUGUGAGUCAUCUAGUCUUUGAACGCAACUUGCGCCUUUUUAAGGCAUGUCUGUUUGAGUACCGUUAACCAAAUACAGCAAUGUAACUUGGUCGAAAUGCCCUCAGUGUUGUUUCGGCUGAAAAAGAGCCAGAUAAGGAGACGGCUAGGUCCUUUAGUAAGUCAGGACGCAAGUCUUUUACUAAGUGGCCUAGUAUUUCCUCUGUUGUUAUUGCGUUAGCUUUGACACAAUUCUACUCUUUUGGUCUCAAAUCAGGCAAGACUACCCGCUGAACUUAAGCAUAUCAGUAAGCGGAGGAAAAGAAACUAACAAGGAUUCCCUCAGUAACGGCGAGUGAAGCGGGAAGAGCUCAAAGUUAAAAUCUCGACAGUUUCUGUCGCGAAUUGUAAACUAAAGAGGGUGAUUAAGGAGGGCGCCUAGACAAAGUGCAUUGGAAUAUGUCACCAGAGAGGGUGAGAGUCCCGUAAAGUCUAGGCAAUCUCUACAAAGAACCUUUCUACGAGUCGAGUUGUUUGGGAAUGCAGCUCAAAGUGGGUGGUAAAUCUCAUCUAAGGCUAAAUAUUGGCAAGAGACCGAUAGCGAACAAGUACCGUGAGGGAAAGAUGAAAAGCACCUUGAAAAGGGAGUUAAAUAGUACGUGAAAUUGUUAAAAGGGAAACGAUCGAGAUCAGUGUUGAGGGGGGAUUUAAUGCUAGAUUCCGGUCUGGUAAGCGAUCCCUCCUCGAGUCAAUGUCAGUUGCUAAGGACAAAUACGCUGUCGAGGAAGGUGGGGAUAGCUUCGGCUUUCUCUUUAUAGACUUGACUAGCUUUGUCAGUGGCGACUGGAAGACUGGUAACGUAGGAGAGGAUUAGAGAUGACUGUUAGGGAAACAGCUUGCUGAUUCACUAGCCUAAUCCUUACGACUCUUCUCCCUAGCUAGUCGCUUUUGACGAAAUGGUCUUGAACGACCCGUCUUGAAACACGGACCAAGGAGUCUAACAAUGUUGCGAGCAUUCGAGUGGCAAACUCGCGAUGCGCAAUAAAAGUAAAGACUUGCGAGCUUAGGCGCAGCAAGGACCGGCCUAGAGAUAUUUCGACAGGACCGAGUAAGAGUAGUAUUGUUGGGACCCGAAAGGUGGUGAACUAUGCCUGACUAGGGCGAAGCCAGAGGAAACUCUGGUGGAGGCUCGUAGCCGUUCUGACGUGCAAAUCGAUGGUCAAAGUUGGGUAUAGGGGCGAAAGACUAAUCGAACCACCUAGUAGCUGGUUCCCUC